This is a non-coding RNA of Phasianus colchicus (ring-necked pheasant), 4550 nucleotides long. NCBI's taxonomy places the organism in Eukaryota, Metazoa, Chordata, Aves, Galliformes, Phasianidae. The record is from RefSeq and is a predicted model, not a curated record.
UUUUUUUUUUACUGUAUCCAACAAAGCAAAAGGAGGUUUUGAAAUGACAAGUAGCUGAAAGCAAGGGAAGACUUGCACUUGCUCAGUCUUGCUGACAUUGCCGUUCCCUUCUAUGUAUGGUAAGCAUUGCAAAAUCCAGCAUUUCCUUCAUGCUGCUCACGUGGAAGUCCAUGCAAGCUUUACUGCUUGUCUUCAGAUCCCAUGAAACCUUAGAUUUUCCCCUUCAUUGUGCACUAUGCAGUAUCUUAGGCAGAAAGGUACUUUCCAUGCACUGGGCAACUGUGUUGUGCUGCAGCACAGUGGCUCCUGCUGUGCCCAGUCCUGCAAGGCUGUGGGCUGCAGCUAGAGGGGGUGAGCAGGCAGAAGAUAGUUUCUGCUAAAAUUUCACAUUUGAAACUUUUCAUCUCACCCCCAUUGUUUCUCCUUCCCCUGCUCUCAGUAGCACCUGCAGGCAUAUCUCCUUCUCUAGUAGAUUUCUCCUGUGCACGUCUGCAUUUCUAAUACGCAUGCAGGUAUACAGACUGCACGUAUGUGUAUUUUAUAUGAGUGUGUAUUUGUGCACGUGCAGCAUAUCUACCUAUCAGCAUUAGAAACUGUGAUUUGUUGUGAGACAGUGCGAGGUCUCUGCUGGUGACUGAGGUUGGAGUGCCUGAAAUGUUGUGCACACGUCAUGAGUAAGUGGCCCUUUCUGCCGAGAUCUCGCAGUCCAAGUGUAUGAUUAGGAACAACAGAUGGAUACCACAAACAGACAGGCAGCGUGGGUGGGGGAGGAGCACAAAAUACCACCGAGAUAAUUAGGAUGAAUGAUUAAUGAUUCGAAUGGGUAAGAAGGGGCCAGAAUGCUCUAGCUGAAUAUUGCUGCUGAUGCCUCACAGGGACCUCGAUGGAGGUGGACAAGAGAUGCACUGUAUUUUGUACUUGCUUGUUAUCCAGGCUACUAAUUUCCCUCUGAGUCCGUGUUUGUAGAUGUUUGGCUCUAAGAUUACACUGCAGCUACACUGUAAGGAUGGUGUAACUUCAGUGUGUUCUGUAUGGAAUGCAGACCCAACUGUGCUGAAACACUAGUCCUUACAGGAAUUUGGAUCUCGUAGGAGCUGAUCCAACACCCACUGGAGUCAGUGAGCUCUUGACCCGUAUGGGAUUUGGGACAGUCCCAGAAUGUUCAAGUGGGCUUCAAACUGAGCUGAAUAAGUGGGAUAUGCAUUUAAAACGAUAAGAAGAAACGCUUUGUAUGAAACUCAUUUAAUAUCUUUCUGUUUGCAUGUACACAUUUUUACUGUGUGAAAUCAGACUGAUUUUUUAUCUGCUGCAUCUAUCUCAACAUGUGGUGUAUGUUACAGUGGACUGAUCAGUUACAUGAUUAAAAUACAUGGUAAACAGAUUCACAGCAUGCUUAACACUGGUAGUUUUGUGUUUUUGCAAUAAUUUUACCCCAACUUUUUCUUUCAUGAACUGUGAUUUUGUUGUUGCCUCUUUGUUUGCCCUUGAGAGAUUGCCCAUUGCUUUCCUAAAUCAGCUCAGUCUAUUUCCUGAAGAUUCUUCCACUGCUUUUAUGGUAGCUGAGUGGCUUGUGAGUACUCAAGGUUGUCAAGCUUUCUCCCCACUUAAACAAAUAGCACUGAUGUUGAAAAGGAUCACAAAACACCGUGCCUUUCGGCUGCCAGGGUCACCACCAUAUUAUUGACUUCAAGAAACUGAGGGAAGGCAGGAGGAGGGAAAUGGAAGGUGCCAAGUAAAGAUUUCUUGCAUCGUCACUUAGGGUUUGGUUCUGACUCUGGUCAAUGAAAAAGCUUUUACUAUGUGGCCAGGUGGCAUCAAAUGAUCUGAAAUUCCACUCCAAAGAGGGUCAUGUGUGCACAACAUUGGUCUACUCCCUCUGUAUGUGAAGGGGUGCUCACCUUCACAGGGAGGUAGUAUGAAGUAGCCCACUAUCCUUUAGUGCUAGGUGUUGCAGCUAUUACCAAGGGUUCUAUUUCCACGUUACUUGGAUUUUUGUGCAUACUAAAGGAAAAUAUUUACAGCUGUUAUCAUAGGCAUGUGAAGAAAUCUUACGCUACUUUUCAAGACAAAAUUUUCAGACAGCUAGACUCGGCAUGACGAUUCAGAGAAGGAUGCUGGUACUGAUGCCAAACUUGUGGUUUUCUCUAACUCGUUUUGCAGGACCUCCUUUUGCUGAAUAGAAAGCCUUCACUUGAAAUGCAAUUACCCUAACGUAGAGAAAAGAACAGGCAUAACCAUGACAGAUGAGAGGAAAUUUCCUCAGAUCAUCCCUUCAACAUCAACAGUGGCACAUUUUCUGUACUUGCUUGAUAAAAAGAAAGAUUUAGGCUGGACCACUGUGUAAGUGCAUAACGUAACAGCCCUAUGGGCUUCAGCAGAGCUUUAUCAGUAAACGUUAAGUCCUAAGAAAAGAUAAUUAAAUAGAGGGCUAACUAUAAUCUCAUAAGCAGUGCAAAUUAGUACAUUUUUAUUGGAAUCAGUGGUGCAAUGUCAGUGGAGAAUCUGACCUCUUGGGUGUACCCAAAUGAUGGGAACGUGGUAGCAAAUUUCCUCCUAGAAACCACCUCACUUUUUGUUAACUCCUACAUUCUUUCUGAUUUCCUUUUUUAAAUGUACUUUUUGUGAUGCAUCUUGGCUGGUCUCUGUCUGACAUUCUCAGCAUUUUUUGGAUCUCUCUUGUACCUUUCCAUUAAUUCAGUUCUUUAGCUGCGUUGCCACCUUUUCAUUUUUCCCUGUUUGUCUACCUCAUCAUCCUUUCUCUCCAUUAAGCAAUGCAAGAUGUUGGGAUUAAGUGAAUUGAAAUAUUCUUGUAGAGUGGAUUGACACAUGCGCCUUUGUUCUGUGGAGCUUGUUUUCAUUCUGUCAUCCUUCCCCUGUGAUUGCUUCCUGGGUCUUUGUGAAGUAAUGGAGAUGGUGGUUUACCUCAGACCUUCUGGCUACUGAUGCCCAACUCUUUGAUACAUUGAUUCUUAGCUUGGAAGAGGCAUGCUGGCAGUGGUGGGCCGUUCCAGAAAUCUGAAGCCAGCAUGUUUGCUUUCUCCUUUUCCAGCUGGAGAUACUAUGAAGAAGUACUGAUAGUGAUAGUAAUAUUGUAUUCUGAAUAUGAGUCAAGAAGACCGUGGAGAUGGGAGAAGUCAUUUCCCUUCAUCUCUGUAAACAAGAAGAUCUAUCUAACUCAGAACUUCUGAAGGACAGAGAGGAUCUGAGCUGGUGAUUGCACUGUCUGAAGGUGCUGUGUUCACUGGUUCACACACAGCACUGUUAGUGGAGGUAGAGCUGCUGUCAUUUGCCCCCAUUCGUUCCUGGGGCCAGUACUGAAACUCAUGUAGAGAAAGAUGCGUACCAGACCUGUGCCUGCUUGUUCAAACACUCUGAGAGGUUGUAGGGGAUGCACCUGUAUCACACGUUAUGUAAACCUGGAACAGCUGGUGUGUGUGGCAGAGAGGAUUUGAAGCUUGGAGUUGCAGCUGAGCCCACUUGUUUUCAGCUGGUGUGCUUGGGCACAGAAGGAGCCAGAGGAGCAAUGCAGUUCUCUUGACAGGCAGGAGACCACAAAGAGCACAUGGAGGAAGGGAAUUGCUAGUAAAUAAAGGUUAGUUUUUGUGAAGUAAAGAAAGAAACAGAAGCAAAAGAGAUCUAAUUAAAGAGAAGAACAACUAGUGUGCACAAGAAGAGAAGUGUAGCUUGUGGUGAUGGCUGAGAAGAGGAGCUUAAGAAGGAAUGAAGAGGCAGAGAAGCUUGGAUGAUGAAGAGACUAUGUACCCUGAGAAAGGAAAAUUAGGUUUGCACGAGUUCAAGGGGAGAAGUUCAUCAAAGAGAAAUCCACCAAGAUUAAGAACAUAGUGACUGCAGUAUUUGCAAGAAGUUGCUGAGCAAAAAUUGUUGGAAGAGGACACCAGUGGAAAGCAUCAAAUACAUCUGCUGAAUUUUAUUCCUCGCUGAGUUCCUAUUUGUGGCACUCAACAGCCUAUUGUGGCUGCUGAUGGAGACAAGAUACUGAAUUAUGAACUUUCAGCCUGCCUUGGAAAUCUACAGCCAAAAUGUAAUACCGGGUGUGAUUCUUCCCUAACUUCCACUGCACUGAUACCGUCUGAGUGGCAGGGGUGGAUCUAUUUUUGGCAAAACUCAGAUUAUCAAGGAUUAGCUUUUCUGCCAUAGCGAAGUGGGAAGCAGACUGGAGAAGGCUGCAAUGCACAUUUUCGUAAGAGAUGUUAUGCUCAGGGGGAAGGUUGUGUCCACAGGAUACAGAGGCAAGGAGGAUCACUUCCCCCAUGGCAAAGUUAUCUCUUUUUUGGAAAGCGUCCCUCCCCUGUGUCCUGGCAGGACUUGGGUCAUGCUCCAAAUUCCAUCCUGUCCCUCUGCUUCCUGCCCUUUCACCCAUCACCAGAGUGAUAAAACACCCGUCCAGAAGCGUUGCGGAACUAAUUGCUUCGCUAUACUUUGAAAAAUAAAAAGUAAUGUUACGAUAGCUGGUUUUGUACAAAAGCUUGUUUUGUUCGUUCAUCCUAUGGACUGGGAAUUUCAGAGGCCGUGCUGUUGUAAGCUGUCCA